GGAGCCGCGGAUGCGCGGCCGCCCUGCACCCGCUGUGCCUGACGGUGACAAUCCCGAGCGAGAGGCCAGCUUUCCCGGCGCCAGCCACCCGGGUGGGGACUGCUGCCUGAGGCGAUGUCGCUGCCAGCCCGCGGAGCUUACCUGAGGUGGUGGUGUCUGGUCUAUGCGUGUGGGAGUUUGGUGUCCACAGAGGCCAGAGGAGGGUGGCAGAUCCCUGGGACUGGAGGUAAGACAGUUGUGAACAAUCAUGUGGGUGCUGGGAAUCACUUAGGUUCUCUGGAAGAGCAGCCAGGACUCUUAAACCACUGAUCCAUUACUGCGAAAGGUGCUGUCUUUUUUAACUGGAGGAAGAUUUGGGCUCUUAGAAUCAAUAAAAUCCAACAAAUGUCUAUGAUGGGCUCCUACCUACUUCUGCUAUUCAGAACCACACCCUUUUAGAGUAAGCCCACAUGAGAAGCUCAUGAAUUCCCAGCAGAGACGUUGUUCUCUGGUUAAGUCUUCUGAAGAGCAUUUUGAGCAAGCACAGCAGGCUUAGAAAGGAAAAAUAUAAAAUAUAUGGUCAAAUAUUAAACGUGCCCCAGGAAGUGAAAUGGAACUGAAUCCUAUGUUCUAGGAAAUAACAGAUUAAGGGAGUGGGACUUUUCGGGAAGAUCCUACUCAGCUAAAUUUAGAUCCAGGCAUGGUGGUACACAUCUUUAAUCCCAGCAGAUAAAGCUGAGGAGGUCUCUGAGUCAAAGCCAGCCCCGGACAGAUCAAGUUCUAGGUGAAGAAAAGCUUAAGUCCAGGUGUGGUAGUACACACCUUUAAUCCCAGGACAGCAAAGCUUAGGCAGUGGGGUUGGAAAACAGGAGCUAGUGAUAACGUACUAGAACAAGGGGGCCAUUUUUUAGUUCCUGCAAGCAGCAGAACUCGCAGUUUUGGCCACAUCCUCUGGCUCUAGAGUCCAGAAUAGAAGGGAUGACUGGGACAAUUAAUGCUGGUUAGCUGGAGCUAAGAAAUUAGUGGUGAUUAAGAAACCACCAUCACUGAGGUGAAAUCUUCUGAGAAGUGUUUUCUGAGAGCACAAAGAAGCUGUGUUCCAGAGAUAGCCAAAUCUCCUGCAGCAGCUGUAUUUGAUAAUGUGUAAGAGUCACCCAGGUGACUCUUUGAAGGCAUGAAGGCAUCAUGAAGAACAGCUGAGGCUUGGCACUGUAAGAAGCUAUGGAAGGCCACUGGUGAAGGUGCAGCCCCAGUUGUAGUUGACAGCCCAGGACUGAAGGGGUCAUGCAAAGGAUUUGAGGCUUGCCACCAGGAAAGAGCCUAUGAGAGGCUACUGGGGAAGGCCCCAGUGUAUUGGAGAUGCCAGAACCAUGGGAGCAACACCAAGAACAGCAUCGGCAGUGGAGUGGAUCAUCCUGAGCUUAGAGUGCUACAGAGGGCAGAGCUGGAGAAGUGACAAUAGCCUUUAGGAUAAGCCCAGAGAUUAUGAACAAGAAGCUGUAACAUUGAAAUUGCCUUGAAGACCCAAAGAUGUUAAAGAUGCCAGAGUGGUGAGGAAAGCUGCUAACAGGGAGUGGAGGAGAAGGAAGUUUGUUGCAGUCAACAAAGAUAAGAAAGGAGUGGAGAUCUGAAGACCACUUUGAUAUCAGACAUGGAGAUGUUUGGAGUUUGCCCAGCUGGUUUCCUGUCUUGCUUUGGGGAUUACAGUUAAGUGAUUGGAUGAAUCUGAGAAGAGACUUUAACUUUGGACUUUUAACAUUGUUGAGAUUGUUGUAUUCUAAGGGGACUUUGGAAGUUGGACUAAAUGUAAUUUUUUUAUUAUGCUACGUUUAGGUAUGACCCCAUAUACUCAUGUGUUUGAACAAGCCUAUGAGGGCCAGGGAGUGGAAUGUGAUGGUUUGUUUAUGCUUGGCCCAGGCAGUGGCACUAUUAGAAGGUGCGGUCCUGUUAGAGUAGGUGUGUCACUGUGGGUGUGGGCUAUAAGACCCUCGCCCUAGCUGCCUGGAAGUCAGUCCUCCACUAGCAGCCUUCACAUGAAAGAUGCAGGACUCUCAGCUCCUCCUGCGCCAUGCCUGCCUGGAUGCCGCUAUGUUCCUGCCUUCAUGAUAAUGGACUGAACAUCUGAACCUGUAAGACAACCCCAAUUAAAUGUUGUCAUUGAUAAGAGUCGCCUUGGUAUUGGUGUCUGUUCACAGCACUAAAACCCUAAGUCAGGGGUGAUGGUUGAGAAGAUUUGAGGCUUAGCAAAAAUCAAAGAUUCAGGGGAAACCCAAGGGUUUUGUCUCAGUCACUUUCCAAUUGCUAUAGCACUACUCCAUGACUAAGGCGACUUAUAGAAGAAUUUAUUGGGGCUUACAGUUUCAGGGAAUAAGUCCAUGACCAUCAUGUCUGGGAGCAUGGCUGCAAGCAGGCAGGCAGGCAUGAUGCUAGAUCAUUAGCUAAGAGCUUACAUCCUUAUCCAUAAACAUGAGGCAAGAAAGAGCUAACUGGGAAUAGCCUGGGUUUUUGAAACCUUACAGCUCACCCCCAGUGUCACCCCUCCUCCAACAAAGACACACCUCCUAAUCUUUCCCAAAUGGUCGUACCAACUAGAAACCAAGCAUUCAGAUACAAGCCUGUGAGAGCCAUUCUCAUUCAAACUAUCACAGGGCUCUAGUCCAGAGCUAAACUAUAUCAUGCUAUAACUUUUAGUUCCCCCCACCUUUAUUAUAAAUAUUAAACGUUCGAAAAAUAAGAAAAAAAAAGCUCAUGAAUUAAAAAGUCGGGAGGCAAAAAUGUCUAGAAGACUCUUGCCAAUAAAAAGUUGUAUCAGGCUUUCUACUGACCAAAUACUGUUUGGUGUAACUGAUUUCCAAAUGAGUCUAAUCUUCAGGACAUAAAGUAUAUUUUGUUAACUGCCACACCUUCAGUACCUAGAGCAAUGCUUGUUGCUGUCUUGUUAGAGCACAUUAAGUAACUAUUUGUUAGGGGUUGGGGAUUUAGCUCAGUGGUAGAGCGCUUGCCUAGCAAGGGCAAGGCCCUGGGUUCGGUCCCCAGCUCCAAAAAAAAAAAAAAGAAAAAAAAGUAACUAUUUGUUGGACGGAUAGAUGGAUGGAUGGAUGGUUUUCAAGGACAGGGCUCAAGAAGUAGGAUAAAACUCUGGCCUUAUCCCUGAUGGCUUUGCUUGUUCUCAGAAGGAAGAACUAUAAAUUAGUACAAAAUCUCAGGUGCAGAGGAAUGAGUGUACACUGAGCGCUGAGCACCCCAGCAGCCAUCUCAGCCAGACAAUGCAAGUUUUCUUUAAAUACUACGAAAAAAAGCAUGAACUAGAAAAGUCAGAAAGGCAAUAAAUUUAACUUUAAUAAAUUGGACAUAACAAUGGAAGUUUUUUCCUACUCAAAAUGAAGAGGUAAGCUGUGGAUUAGGAAAAAUUAUUUUAUACACACACGUGUGUAUGUGCAUAUAUACACAUAUCUCUCCAACAAAGAACUUAUUUCUUGAACUUUAUGUGCUUUUAUUGCUCAUUAAGACAACCAGAUUUUAAAAUGAGUAAACUAUAUGAGCAACUUAACGAAAAUAUCAGGAGAACAAAUAGGUACAUGGAUACGUGACACAAAGAGCAAAGCACAUUAAAAUACCAAGUACUCUGUAUUUCAAGGAUAGAACGCUAAACUUCCUACUUUAAUGUGGUAAGACCUUGAGGCCUACAAGUGAGACCCGGGGAUUUAAGGAGUGCUCACUUUCCUUCCCAAUUGCCACUAUCAUUUCUAUGGCCCUUAGUGGUUCUGUAAUCUACUUCCUGUGUUAGGUAAGACACAUCACUAAAAACUGACAGCCCCCACCAGUCAUUUCUGCAGUGACUUGUACUUGCAGUAUUUGCAAGGAACACAAUAGAAAACGGGGGCUAUCAGCACACAUGGAGCUAAGACUGCAGGCCCUCUGCUACUCACCGGAAGCCAGGGUAUCCAACCAGCAGCCCUUACCUGCUUCUGACUUGUUAGACAUAAUUAGCCUUCCUAGUCCUUAUGAUUCAAAGGAUAACUCCCAUUAAUUCAAGUCUUUCGAAGGCUGACUUUGCAUUGCCAGUGGCGUAAGAACAUGAGCCAGUGACACAUGAAACCUGAAUGGUUAGGGCUUCCAGAGGACGAUUUCCUUGUUUUAGAAUGAAACACUGCAGGGGGUUGGUGUGUGUGUGUGUGUGUGUGUGUGUGUGUGUGUGUGUGUGUCUUCCUUUUAACUUCUGACAUGGCUGCUUUGAAGGAUUGCUUCUUUUAUCUUCUCUGUAUUUCUUCCCAAGCUUGUGAGGCUUCCUCAGCCUAUAGCCAAAAAGAAUGUCUGAGAAAAGAGAAACAGUGUAGUAUUCUAAUGAACUGAUACUGGAGUGAUCCUUACAGCAGCCUGGUAAAGCAUGGCCGAGGCUUAGAACUUCUCAGUAAUGUCUUUCACCAUAACCUUAGCCUCCAAACCUUAACUGCCAUUAAGAUUCCAAGACAGGACAUAGCCACAAUAUCCUUCCUUCCUUUGCCUCAUGGUACAUCAUAUGCCACAUCAUAUUUUUACUAAUAAGGCAAGAGGGAAGGUUGUUCAACUAGUACUGAAAAGACUUUAGUCACAACGUGGGGCUCCAGGGUAUGACAGUUAAGUCAUGUUAGGUGUGUUUGAGAAGGAACCAACUAAGUCUUUCAAAAUAGAAAAACAAAAUAGCAAAAACAAAAACAAUAAAAACCCAAAAAACAAAACAAAACAAAAAAACCAAAAAACUUCUGUCACCGGGUAGUGGUGGUGCACACCUCUAAUCUCAGCACAGAGUUCAGAAUUCAAGGCCAACAUGGUCUACAAAGCGAGUCCAGGACAGUUAAGAAUCUGGUACACAGAGAAACCCUAUCUCGAAAAACCCAAAUAAAAUAAGUCUAUCUUAUUGCAACCAGGACUAUGUCAUUCAACCAAUUUCCUUUAAGCUUUGCAGAUGGAAGGAUCACAGUGUCUAGGUGGCCACAUCCCAAAGGAACUUGACAGGUGGUAGCCACAGGCUUAGUGUUAUAAUUUGCAAAGUCAUAAUACUUGGCCUCCAGAGGACUGCUAGACCUAUUAUACGUACACUGUCCACCAGCUAUAAUUCCUCCGUGGGCUCUUUGCCAGAAUCCUUCUCUGAAUCAUCUUCCCCAGGGUUGAGGAAUCAGUGUGCUAGCAGAACUGGGAAGAUACGAGAUCCUUCAAGCUGAACAACUAUGCCCCCAGCUUAAGUUCCAAACCCAAGAAACCCCUGAAGUUGGGGGUGAAAAUAUUUGAAAAGAUAAUAAUAUGCUAACACCAAGAGAUCUGUUCUUACUCUGCUUACCUGAAAAUGGAGGAACAUUCUAUUUUGGCUUACAUAAAGUUCAGGAUUAGACUCCAUCCAUUGGGGAUUUUUGUCUGUCUGUUUGUGUUUGUUUUUGAGAUAGGGUCUUACUAUGUUGCUUUGACCGACCUGGAACUCACCCUAUGCAUCAGGCAGGCCUUGAAUCAGAGAUAACCAGUUUCUGCCUCCCAAAUGCUGGGGUUAAAGAUGUUUACCACCAAACCAGUCUCAGUAUCACUUCUUGAUUUGCCCACUCCACACCCAUGUUAUCUCUAGCUCAUUUCACUCAUUCUCAAAUUCUCCCUCAUGGUAUCUGCUGUUGUCUUGAGAUGACAGAAUAGAAUGUAUAGAAUGUAGUUUCUGGUCCUAGGGGUUCAUAGUCCGUGGAGAAGACAAGUUUUAGCAGGAAGCAUGGCGAGCUAGGUUCUGUCUGGUGUACUGGCACACAAUCCAUAACACUUGUUAGGGACAAAAUCAGAACGCUUUUUUCUCCUAAGAACAAGAGAAAUUUUAAAGUGGUGGUAUUACCUGAUGAACAAUUUGGAAGACCUAAAUUCCUUUUCUGUUCUAUUUUUUUCUCCACUUUAUUUAUACCAGCACAAAAUAAGUUAGCAGUUUACCUAGUGGUGACUUGGCUGUUACCUAGCUUCUGCCUCCUCCCCCUCCACAAGGCUGGCUCCACAGUGUAUUUCUUUUGGUAAGCUGUUUCCCUUGCACCUGAGGCCUUAGCUACCUUUUACCCAGGGUGAAUCCUGUACUUCUACCACUAGUUUCCUGUCUUGCCUAAGCACCAAGGCUGUGUUUAUUGGAAACGGUAUUCCCCUCUGGAAUCUCAAGAUGCUUAAAGCUGGCAGGUAGGCAUAGGCCUCCAAUUCCAGUACAUGGGAGGUAGAACUCAGAAGAUAGUGAAUUUGAGGGUCACCAGAACCCCUCAAAGAAAACUUUGUAUCUGAGGUUAAUUAUCCUUGGUCAGGAGAUGUACUACAUGCCUUCUAUAGUCUCACUGAUCCCAUCUUGGUAAGAAUGUCCCAGUACACUCACGUUCAAGUAGAGACAUACGAUCUACAUUCUACUACUCUCUGUCAGUCUUGAUGUCUUGGUAAUGUUCUAUCCUGCUUCUCAGGUCUGCCCUUUCUGUUCAGUCUUUACAGCUACAGCUUCAGCCCAGUCACCUGGAAUCCUUUGUACUGGAGUGACUCAGUGACCAAUGAUCUCCAAGAAACUUUAAAGACAUUCUGUUUUUCUCAUUUUUGAAUUGUACCUACUUUCUCCUCUCACAAUACCACGACAGUGUUUUGCAUGUUUGUGAAAAGUACACAGAGACCAUGUGCGGUUUGACUGCACGACAAUCUAAAAACCUAUCAGAUAUGUAAUUAAUACACCGUUUAUUUUGUGACAGGAAAAAAAAAAGCCAGAGACCACACUUUAGAAAUAAAAGCCACUGUUGUCUUUAUAAAACACAGGAUUGUGCUGCUGUUGCUUGCUUGAGAAGGGAACUGUACAUUACAGCUGCUGGGAUAAUUUCACAAUGGACGGGACAGGGUACAGCUCAAAGCAGGACACAAACACAAGUCUCAAUGGGAAACAAAUGCAAACAAGUACACAGCUGCGGGGCUCCAGGGACAUUUCCCCAUCCAUGCUGGACUUGAGAGGAAUAAGAAGUUUAGAAAAUAAAGUGAAACCCAGAGUUGUCACACGUGCCCACCACAUGGCUGCUAAGUGCAACAACAUACACCCAUCAGGUUGGACUGUGUGCACAGGAAGUCAAUUCAUUUUUCCUUAUUGCUAUGACACCAGAGGACUCAGUGCAUUCAGACACAUUGUCUUUACUUACAGAAUUCUUGGAGAGUUUCUGAUUUCCCUUUUUAAGGAAGGGAAUCACCUUCCUCACAUUACUGUUUUGAGCCCAUUCUUUCCAUUCCCUUUCCUGGGCUAUCGUACAGCAGCCAGAGGUUCUAAGUCAGUAGGAGCAGAGUAAGGGGAGAGCACCAACCCAGC
Rattus norvegicus (Norway rat) is the source of this 7294-nucleotide non-coding RNA. Lineage: Eukaryota; Metazoa; Chordata; Mammalia; Rodentia; Muridae. The record is from RefSeq and is a predicted model, not a curated record.